AGAGUUUGAUCAUGGCUCAGGAUGAACGCUGGCGGCGUGCCUAACACAUGCAAGUCGAGCGAUCUUCUUCGGAAGAGAGCGGCGGACGGGUGAGUAACGCGUGGGUAACCAGCCCUGUACACACGGAUAACAUACCGAAAGGUAUGCUAAUACGAGAUAAUAUACUUUUAUCGCAUGGUAGAAGUAUCAAAGCUUUUGCGGUACAGGAUGGACCCGCGUCUGAUUAGCUAGUUGGUAAGGUAAACGGCUUACCAAGGCGACGAUCAGUAGCCGACCUGAGAGGGUGAUCGGCCACAUUGGAACUGAGACACGGUCCAAACUCCUACGGGAGGCAGCAGUGGGGAAUAUUGCACAAUGGGCGAAAGCCUGAUGCAGCAACGCCGCGUGAGCGAUGAAGGCCUUCGGGUCGUAAAGCUCUGUCCUCAAGGAAGAUAAUGACGGUACUUGAGGAGGAAGCCCCGGCUAACUACGUG
Molecule: ribosomal RNA, 473 nt
Filed under: uncultured bacterium
Lineage: Bacteria
Description: bacterial SSU rRNA
Rfam family: Bacterial small subunit ribosomal RNA
Source: RNAcentral